UAAAAAGGCUGCUGGGAGUUUCCUUAGGGAGACAGUGGGGCAGGCAUGCAGUUUAAGUACUGGAACACUGCUCUGGCACGUGGUGUAGACUGGCUACAUACUUCUAGGCCCCGUGGCUCCAACUGCCCCACAUAAAGCCAAACACAAUGAGGCUAAGCAGCUUUGCUAGGCCUCUGCAGUUUCAUGGGAACACUUGUCCUGUGGCCUCAAUGUCUUGUUGCUGCAAUUAUCACUGGCCCAUCAUGUCACUAACAGAGCAGCUCUGGUCACCUGUAGCUGACACAUCACCCAUGCAGCCGGGGAGAGGGAGGGAGUGCUGUUAAUCCAUGCACAGUAGCCUCAGACAGUCCCGAAAGCUUGAGGGCCUUAUCUGUGACAUUCCCGUGCCUUCUGAGGUAACCUGGGGCCAGGUCCCCACAACAUGCCGUGGACAGGGCAGCUCUGGUCUAGACGCAGAGGCUUGGGUAUACGGGACAUGUCUUGGGAGGAAAUGUGAAAGAUGGCACCUACAGCUGCUAGUGUUACUGACCUGACUUUCCAGAGGCAUGUUGUAGACCUCGGAGUCCAGGAGCAUUGUGCAUGCACUGAAUGGCACGGCCUGGUUGGCAAUGGUCCUGGCUGCCCGGCAAUGAACCCGAAGAAUCUCUUGCUCGCAGGACACAAUCAGCUUCUCCUGAAGAAGGAGAGGAACAGGACGAACAUGCAGUGGUGACGGCAGAUCAGGGUUGGGGCAGCACGUGCUGCUGCUCCCUGUGAGCCAGAAGAGAAGUGACAACACAGACACACCCACAGACUGGACCUUUCUGGACCACACAGGAAGAUGCAUCGUUCCAGGUGAAAGACCUGGGCAGCGAGCAACAAUGCAGUGACUGGCAGGCAAAUCCAGCCGAGAUUUGAGAAUACAGUCUCUCAGUCUUUCACUGAGGAGAUUCACCAUCGUCGGGGAGCUGGCUACUUUCAACGGUGUCUCGCCUUUUCUGUUGCUCUGCUGAGGAUUCCCACCAUACCGUAACAACAACUUCACCACCUACAAAAUACGAGGAAUGGCAUUAACAGACUGUCGGAAAAAUGCUGUUACCCUGUCAUGCCUGGAGAAGACACAGGCUAGGACAUUCUAACCCCUGGUGUGGGGUGCUGUGUGCAGAGCCACUCCUCAGCAGUCAUCUGCAUGAGCAGAGCCACUUGCUGACGCUCAGAGAGCGGGUAUCCAGCUCGGAUCCCAGACAGCCCCAUGCCGAACAACAGCCCGGACUUUCGGGCAACAGGUUCCUUCUUGAUCCUCUUCCGCUCAGGACCCUGCUUCUCUGUGUGGCAGGUGAGGGAGAAAGGGAGGGGAGACUUCAUGCCCAAUCCUCGAAGCCAAAGUUUUAAUUAGCGUUACAGAGCCCCUUCAUUCCACCCAACAGCUUCCAGAGCAACAAGGCAGGCCUAUGAGGGGGUGACCGUGCUGGGAGCACUGACGUCACCCCACUCUGUGAGAGACACAAUGUCAUACCCUGUUGUCAGCCCAUCAGGAACCUCCAUUUCAUGCCAUGGUGCUUCGAGGACCGUACCAGCCUUGCAGUACCACAACAUGGACUGAGCUGGAGGCAUCUAAAGGCAUCAACACAGAGCACUAACAAGAACGAUGUAACAGCUCAGCUGUUCCAUCUUAACCGCUCCUAACAAGCAGGCCCUGGGCGCCUCUGACCGGUGACAAGAGACUGUGGCGCUGCUCUAAGAGGUGGGAUGCAGAGAACGACCCCAGAGUCCAUGACUUGGGAACACAGAGGCUCUCACUUUGAAUCCUGCCUUCUUAAAAACUAAAUUUGUGGCUUGGUGACUUAGAAGAUUUUUUUAAUGUUACAAGCCUGUAGGCAGCGACAUGCACCUGUUUAACAAUUCAUGGUCAAACUCUCCUAAACACUUUAGACCACCACCAGCUAGUAGUUUUAAAUAAGCCAUGGUAUAGAGAUACGAGAAAAUAAAAAAGUAUUAUAUGAGAA
Grammomys surdaster is the source of this 1985-nucleotide long non-coding RNA. RefSeq lists it as uncharacterized. NCBI's taxonomy places the organism in Eukaryota, Metazoa, Chordata, Mammalia, Rodentia, Muridae. The record is from RefSeq and is a predicted model, not a curated record. The transcript is spliced from 5 exons.